ACUGUCAAAAAAACAACAACAGAAAAUUUGAAUAUAAAUGAAUUAUUUCGUAAUUUUGUUGGCUUAUUUCCAUUUAGAACUAUGAAUAGGCAUGGAUUUGAUUCGAAAGUCAAGAAAACUCUUAACAGAAACUGUGAACAGAAGACCAAAACCCCAGCUCUCAAGGAAACAUCAGUAUUUGAUAUAGGCUGUUCCAACUUGCCAACUGCCGAUCGAAGUUCACGGUCUUCUCAAAAAGAAAAUCAAUUGAAUCAGCCUUCCCUGUGCUCUAGCGAAGCGUUGGCUCACUAUUUAACUGAUGUGAAGAAGUCCUUACCAUCUCCUACGCCUCUUGAAGAUAUUGAUAAAUGUCAGUAUAGCUCAAAGAUGACGAAAAAAUUAAAUUUCCACUUCAAUGAUAGAAUCUACAAAAACUUAAUAGAACUUAAUGCAAAUGUUGAAGAUUUGAAGACAAAGAGGGACAAGAGAGUCCAUAGUGCAAGUUCCAGUAAACGGGAUAUGGAGCCCAAUAUAGAAGAUUUUUACCAGGACGAAAUUGAAAGUGACGUUAUGCCAGUGAUACCUGUAAUAAAACCAAAAUUCAAGCCAGUGAAGAAAGUUGAAAAUGGACAGUUACAUAGACUUAUCGCUUCCUUUGAAGAUUUAUGACCCAAAAUAAAAACAUGUCAUGAA
This is a long non-coding RNA of Ostrinia nubilalis (European corn borer), 672 nucleotides long. RefSeq lists it as uncharacterized. The transcript has 2 exons. The record is from RefSeq and is a predicted model, not a curated record. NCBI's taxonomy places the organism in Eukaryota, Metazoa, Arthropoda, Insecta, Lepidoptera, Crambidae.